GAUGAACGCUGGCGGCGUGCCUAACACAUGCAAGUCGAGCGAACGGACGAGAAGCUUGCUUUUCUGAUGUUAGCGGCGGACGAGUGAGUAACACGUGGAUAACCUACCUAUAAGACUGGGAUAACUUCGGGAAACCGGAGCUAAUACCGGAUAAUAUUUUGAACCGCAUGGUUCAAAAGUGAAAGACGGUCUUGCUGUCACUUAUAGAUGGAUCCGCGCUGCAUUAGCUAGUUGGUAAGGUAACGGCUUACCAAGGCAACGAUGCGUAGCCGACCUGAGAGGGUGAUCGGCCACACUGGAACUGAGACACGGUCCAGACUCCUACGGGAGGCAGCAGUAGGGAAUCUUCCGCAAUGGGCGAAAGCCUGACGGAGCAACGCCGCGUGAGUGAUGAAGGUCUUCGGAUCGUAAAACUCUGUUAUUAGGGAUGAACAUAUGUGUAAGUAACUGUGCACAUCUUGACGGUACCUAAUCAGAAAGCCACGGCUAACUACGUG
This 497-nucleotide ribosomal RNA is filed under the name uncultured bacterium. RNAcentral's name for it is "partial 16S ribosomal RNA". It matches the Rfam family "Bacterial small subunit ribosomal RNA", at positions 28 to 507 of the family's 1533-position model. The record is from RNAcentral.